RNAcentral lists this long non-coding RNA (7409 nucleotides) under Malus domestica (apple). Its description in RNAcentral is "long non-coding RNA (MDOM_LNC017367)". The record is from RNAcentral. Lineage: Eukaryota; Viridiplantae; Streptophyta; Magnoliopsida; Rosales; Rosaceae.
AACGGAUAAGUAAAUUGAAAUCACAACUUAUGAAAUCACAACCGAAGGUAAUCAAUUCAUAUUACAAAUAUAAAUCAUGGCUUUGAAUUAACCUCUAGCCAACAUAAAUUUAAUUACACAUUAUUAAAACAGAAAUAAAAGAGAAGUUUGGAAAAAUUAAACCGAAAGAGGAUGAUCUGUUGCUGUGCAGCUUCACUGCGUCGUCAGUACGUGCUCUGUCAGUCACUCCUCUCUCCUGCACGUCCUCUCCUUCUUCCUGACCUCCCGCGCCUCACUUGCCCCGUCAGCCUUCCACGCUGACUGCUUUCCUUCUCAGCUUCUUUCUGCUCGGUUUCCUCUCGAACACAAGCUGCCACGCAGCAGCAAUUGCCGAGCUGCAAGGUCCUUCUAUUUUCAAGGCUGCACAGCAGCCAAGUCCACGUGCUCUCCCUUGUUUCACGCUGCCCAAGCAGCGUUUUUCAGUCUUUUCUCGUGCACAAGCUGCAAGGCAGCAGUGCCCUCUCAAUUGCUGCAAGGGCAGCAGUUUUGCUCGGUUUGUGCUCUCUCUCGCUGCCCAAAGGCAGAUUGUUUAUUUCCUGCGCAAGACAGUCUCUCGGUUUCUCCCCAAUCCCGUGCGCACUCUGCGCUUAUUCCCCCGCAGCUUCUUGCUGCUCUCUUUUCACGCUGCCCCAAAGGGCAGCUCUCCCCCCUCCUUUCUUCACGGAUUUCCACUCUUCUCUGUCUCCUCCUAUCUCCCGCUCCCCAGACCCCCAAUUAUUUUUCUCUCUGCGAACUGCCCAAAGGGCAGUCCCUUCUCCCGCUCCAAGACCCCCUUUCUCUCCCUACCCGUGUCAGUCUUCUUAUUUCAUUCUUUUCCUCUUUUCACGCUACCCCCCGUGUCUCACGUUUCCCUGCUUCUCUUCUUUUCCCCCUGCCAAGGGCCCGUGUCUCCCUUGGAUUCUUCUUUUCUGCCUUUCUUUUCUGGCAGCCUCGCUGCCUUCCCUUUCUUCUCACGUCCUUCCCCAAUUAUCCUUUAUUCUAUUAUUCUUUUCGUUUCUGGUCCCUGCCUUUGCGUCUUGGAUUCCUUCCUUUCCAGCUGCAAAGCAGCUUCCUGUUGUUUUCAGAAGUGAAGAAUAUGGGAGUCAACGAGGUAAAAAAAAUAUAAAUCAUGAUGCUCUCUUGCUCCCUCUUUGACCGACUCUCCCCAUUUCUUUUGUUUAUGCCGUGACAUAAUUCUACCAAUAAUCCAUGACAGAAUGAGAACGACUAAAGCAAUUUUCGACGAAUUUAUUAUUUAAAACUCAUUUGUGCUAUUUUUAUUUUCUUUGCAUAACAACUCCUAUAAACACAAAAAUAACGUAAAUAGCUCAAAAAUAUAAGGAACUAACUAAGAAAAGACGAGUGAAUUCGAAGUAAAAAUAUAUAUAAAUAUGAUCCGAUCAAAUACCCCCACACUUAACUUUUGCUAGUCCUCGAGCAAAACAAAGAAAACAAGAACAAGAAGUAACAAGAAAAAAAAAAAAAAACAUUAGCUUCCCUCUAUGUGACCCUCAUAGAAUUUCAUUUAAGAAAACAAAUUAUCAAGAACCAUAGCUAGCACCAAACAAGUUAAUCCAAGUUCAAAUUCCUAAUUCAAAUAUUAGCAGUAAUCUUUAAAUCAUCCUUGAAGUGUAGUGUGUGAGAUAGUCAUGCUAAUGCAAUUUCAAGUUUUUAUUUUUAAAAUCAUCAUAUGCAAACUAGCGACAUUCUCACGGGAUAUACACUCAAUCACACAUGUGUUUAGUUUAAAUGUGUUUCGCUCAAAGAAUCAAAUGUGAAAUUUCUACCAUAAGCUUGCAUAAAGAUCACUUCUCCACAGUCAUAAUUGCAAAACUUAAAUCAAGAGGACUUUUAUUGGAUGUAAUGAGGCUUAGGGAUAGGGUUAUUGAAACGAAAGAAUAGGAAAACACAAGUUCCAAGCUACAUUGCAAGCAAUUCUUUUGUUUUAGAUUUAUAAGAACUCAAGCUUUCCAACGAUUCUUUUGAAACCUCCAAUCACACCCUUAAACUGAAACUUUAAAAACAUUUUUUUUUUUUUUUCUUUUCUUUUCUUCUCUUUUUUUUUUUUUUUUUUUUUUUUUUUUUUAAAUACAAACAUGAAAUACCCCCACACUUAUUCUUUUGCCAAACACCUUCAAAGUACUUCACAAACAUUUCUCAUAAGACAAUCUCACAUUGCUCGCUUGGAAAGGGUAAGGAAAAAUGUUUCAGGUAUAAGGGUAGACAUAUCUGGUGAUAAGAAAUAAAAGGCUCAACAAACACGGCUCAAAUUGGCAAACUAAUGAUAUCAUUUUUCUUUGGGAAACAUGGUUAUUUGGGCCAUAGUGGUAAACCUAAUGCCUCUAUCAUUUCCAAGUUCAUGCAAUCAAUGACAAACAUUUCGAAAGAUCGUUACGCAAGUUCUAGAGAUGUAUCUCACAUAAGUUCAUCACACAUGAAAGAAUAGGAGUGUAUGAAAAAUGCACACAGUUUCAAUCGGCUCAAAAACUCACAUAGGAUGUAUAUGGUCACUAAAUUCACAUAUGAAGCUUUAAGUCAUACUUUAGUUUCACAUUAACAAGGCUAUGUGCAUUUGGUUUUUCAAAGAUGAUCAAACAUGUACAAAACUAACAAAAGAAUUAGGAAUUUCACAAAACACAUGUUAACUAAGUUCUUGAUGAUCAUGGUUCAAAUUUUUUUCAAUUAUAUCAUUGGGUCGGGAAACUAACAAAAAUCUAAUUCAAAACAAUAAGGAAAACAAGACAAUAUUUUUGGAUUUUUAAAUUUUCCGAAUUUUUUUUUUUUUUUUUAAUUUUUAAUUUUUUUUUUUUUUUUUUUUUUUUAAUUUUUUUUUUUUUUUUUUUUUAAAAGAAAACAAAACUAAUUAAGAACACAAAAAAAACAACACAGAGACAAAUGAAAUUCUAGAGAUUUCUACCCCCACACUUAAACUUGACAUUGUCCCCAAUGUCAGAAAACACUAUAAUGCAAAUAAAAAAUAAAAUAAAAUAAAUAAAUAAUAAGAAACAAAAUAACGCAAUUGGACUGAAAACUUCCCUAAUUUGCAGUAAAAUCAAGCGAUGACCCCCAAGCUAAAAUUCUGCAAUCAACUUCAAGGGUGGAAAUAACCAAAAGUUCCUGCAAAGAAAAGAAAUAAUUCAGUUAAGUACGCAAGAAAAUUAAUUAAAAAAAAAUUGCAAACGAAAAAUUGAAAAUUACGAUAAAAGAUAAUGAAUAAAACUAAUAAGUAAUCAUUGGUCGUGCUUGUUGACUUUCCACAGCUUUCCUCUUGAACGGGGUGACACUUAGCUUUUUACUAUUUGAUGAUAUUGUACGGCGGAGCUUUGCUCUUUGGUGAUGUUGCAGUUCCUUAUUUGUUCUCCAAGCAGAUGUGGCAGCUUCUCUAGUUCUUCAUCUCAGACUCCUUCUGCUGGGAUGAUUGUGCAAGCUGCAUUCUUCUCUGCUUGUUUCCUCUGCAUGGCGGGCAGGCACGAGGGAGAGGUGUUGGUCUGUUUCUUUCUUCAAUCUUUCCAAGUGCCCACCUCUUGCUCUCUUUCUCCUUGUCCUUAGUUGAGGAUGAAUCAGCACGUUGUCUCCACAUGCUUCGAGGUAUCAUCUUCACUUCCCUUAUACGUAAGAGACGAAGAGGAAACACAAGAUGAUGAGUACUCGAGAGCAAGUGCUGGCUGGAGAAAGGACAGGGAGAAAGCAUGAUAUGAGAUACUCUUGCUUUCAACCUUCAUGAUAUGAAAUACUUUUGCUUUGAAUGGGUUGUUCGCAGGAGUAUCCCAAGGAAUGAGGAACACAGAGUAACUUAGGAGGAUUCUUUGGGAAUGCAUUUUCGGAGAUGAAGAAGUGUUGAGAGGGUGUGCUGAGAGAGUGUGCUUUUGCUGUGGAAGGCGAAGGUAGAAACUUAUAGGGCUUUUCUUCACAACCGGAACUAUUCUCUCACUCAUUGUCGGCAGCCGGUGGAUGGAUGAAUAGUACACAUUACGCGCUUUCUGACAAAGCUGCCCGUAAUUUCCGCAAAGCAGAUUCCUCAUUGAUAUCUGGAAUCGGCGCUUCGAGCUCUGAGCAACGUCGAUUGUAGAGGUAGCAUGUGACACGUGCGGAUAAAUCUGGAAAAGAAGAUUUGCCCGUGGGUUGAAGCCCAGCUUUUGAGAAAGCUAGCGUGUCUUUGACUGUUGAAUUUCCCUCUUCGAUUUCUGAAUUGGUGCUUCGACAAACUGCCCGAGAAUUUCGCAAAGCAAUUUACGUGUGACAAGUGACGACACGUCUGGACAAAUUGAUCUUUUGAAAUCCGGGGUUCGGCUCGUGGUUUCUGAGCAAGCCCAGCCUUUAAGAAAUGAAACGCCUCUUUUGAGAAAAGAAUCCGGCUUUUGAGAAAGGAGCCCCGACUCUUCGAUUUGCGAGAGGACGCUUCUCUGAGGAGCGCCUCUCCGAUUUCUUCUUUUUAUAGAGGCGUUAAGCUUGUUCCACAACACACUUGAGCACCCUCCUGUAAACACUCUCUUCUUGCACUUGUUUAAUCUUGAUCAUUCCGACUCUCUUCUUUCUUCACCACCUCUGAAAAAUGUCUGGCCCUUCCGAUCGUCGUUUUGACUUGAACAUUGGUGAAGAGGCAGCUCCGCCUUCACCAGACAAUAUAUGGCGCCCAUCCUUCAUAUCCCCUACCGGUCCUCUUACCGUGGGGGAUUCGGUGAUAAAAAAUGACAUGACCGCUGCGGUGGUGGCCCGAAACCUUGUCACUCCCAGAGAUAACCGACUGCUCGCUAGACGGUCUGAUGAGUUGGCUGUGAAGGAGUCUCUGGCUCUUAGCGUGCAGUGUGCGAGUUCCGUAUCCAACAUGGCCCAACGCCUAUAUGCCCGAACCCGUCACGUUGAAUCGUUGGUGGCUGAAAUACAGAGUCUCAAAGAGGAGAUUAGAGGACUCAAGCAUGAAAAUAAACAAUUGCACAAGCUUGCACACAACUAUGCCACAACCAUGAAGAGGAAGAUUGACCAGAUGCAGGACACCGAUGGUCAAAUUUUACUUGAUCAUCGGAGGUUUGUGGGUUUGUUCCAACCGCAUCUGCCUUCGUCUUCUGGAGCGGCACCGCGUAGUGAAGCUCCAACUGAUCAACCUCUGCCGCCUCCUCCUUCUGUGGCCCCGCCGACUGCUGAAGCCCCGCCGACUGCUGAAGCACCACCCGACCAAUGAAUACUAUUAGUUUACAUUAUUGUAAAAUAUUUGCAUUUUUUUUUUUUUUUUUUUUUUUAUUUUUUUUUUUUUUUUUUUUUUUUUUUUUUUUUUUUUUUUGCAUUAAUUUUAAAUUUUAUCUUUUUUUUUUUUUUUUUUUUUUUUUUUUUUAAUGUGUAAAUUAAUGUAAAGAGACUUUGGUUAACCUUCCCUCACACUUAAACUAAAUAACACAAACUCACAGAAAUCAACCAAUUAACACAACUAACUAAACAAAACAAAAUGAAAGCAGUAAAGAUAAGGGUGGAAGAAUGCAAAGCUGAUUGGGUUAGUGAUUCCAAAGUCUCCCUUCGUUGAAUGCUUGGGUUGCCUCCCAAGAAGCGCUUGAUUUAACGUCUUUAGCCGGACGCAUCUUUCCUUUAAAUUUCCCUCGGCUCCAUUUGAACCUAAAAUCAAAGAAAGAAAAAUAAAUCAAAUAUCAAAAGUAAAAUACACAAACACCAAUAUAAACAUAAACAAAAACAAAAAUAAAAGGAUUAGCAAAGUUGCUAAUCCCCGGCAACGGCGCCAAAAUUUGAUGCGAAAUAUAUAAGCACACAAAUUAAACCCUCUUUUUGACAAUUGUAGUAUAGAUGUAAGUAGGGUAUCGUUCUAGGCCGGGGAUUAGGAGGGAUUGCUAAUCUAUUCUAAAUUAAUUUAAAAAUAUUAAACAAGACUCAAGGAUACAAAACUAGGCUAAAAACUCUAAUAACUCGAAACACACUUAAAAUGACUCAAAAUAAUGAAAACAAUUAAAUUAAACACUAGGAACUGAAAUGGAUGGAAAUUAAAUUAAAAGACUAACAAUAAAGAAAACUAAAUAAAUAAUAUAAUUUAAUAAUGGAUGGGUGUUUGGUUUUGACUAGAAGUAAAUUAAACUUAAAUAAAUUACAGAAUUGACAAAAACAUGAAAUUAAGGUGAAAUGAUAAAUGACGGACUAGCUAGAGGGUUCUUCUCCACACAUGACACAUAUGCAACCUAAAUUGAUUUUCAGUUGUUCUUUCAAUAAAUUGUAGUAUCUCAAUACUCCAGAUUAACCGUGAACAGCACUUUUUUAAUCUUCAAGUUUUCCUUAAGUUAUUGAAUUGGACGGGAAAACGCAUACAACAAUUCAAAACAUUCUUCAAAAGUCCCCUACGUGGAAAGCACAAUAGAGAUACAAUCAAAGAUCAUUAAACUUUGUGAAAACUAUAAGCAUUGACGAGGCAUUCGUAAUUAUGAAAAGCAUGAUACUCUUGCCAAGAAUUUACUUAACGUGAUUGUGACUAGCAACCUUUACUACUUGUGAAAAUAAGUUCAUAACGAUUAGGUGAAAUUCACUUAUAUUCUAGCAUCAAAUUCAUGCAUGUGAAUUAAGCGUGCACUCUCAACCAACAUACACAAAUCAGUUUUUAUACGAACGGAUAAGUAAAUUGAAAUCACAACUUAUGAAAUCACAACCGAAGGUAAUCAAUUCAUAUUACAAAUAUAAAUCAUGGCUUUGAAUUAACCUCUAGCCAACAUAAAUUUAAUUACACAUUAUUAAAACAGAAAUAAAAGAGAAGUUUGGAAAAAUUAAACCGAAAGAGGAUGAUCUGUUGCUGUGCAGCUUCACUGCGUCGUCAGUACGUGCUCUGUCAGUCACUCCUCUCUCCUGCACGUCCUCUCCUUCUUCCUGACCUCCCGCGCCUCACUUGCCCCGUCAGCCUUCCACGCUGACUGCUUUCCUUCUCAGCUUCUUUCUGCUCGGUUUCCUCUCGAACACAAGCUGCCACGCAGCAGCAAUUGCCGAGCUGCAAGGUCCUUCUAUUUUCAAGGCUGCACAGCAGCCAAGUCCACGUGCUCUCCCUUGUUUCACGCUGCCCAAGCAGCGUUUUUCAGUCUUUUCUCGUGCACAAGCUGCAAGGCAGCAGUGCCCUCUCAAUUGCUGCAAGGGCAGCAGUUUUGCUCGGUUUGUGCUCUCUCUCGCUGCCCAAAGGCAGAUUGUUUAUUUCCUGCGCAAGACAGUCUCUCGGUUUCUCCCCAAUCCCGUGCGCACUCUGCGCUUAUUCCCCCGCAGCUUCUUGCUGCUCUCUUUUCACGCUGCCCCAAAGGGCAGCUCUCCCCCCUCCUUUCUUCACGGAUUUCCACUCUUCUCUGUCUCCUCCUAUCUCCCGCUCCCCAGACCCCCAAUUAUUUUUCUCUCUGCGAACUGCCCAAAGGGCAGUCCCUUCU